UUAAAAUGAUGCAUCCAGUUCUGCUUCUGUUUAAAAAAAAAGCUGAAGACAACAUUAUACCAAAUCUAUUCUGAUUG
This 77-nucleotide small nucleolar RNA is filed under the name Macrostomum lignano. The record is from RNAcentral. Lineage: Eukaryota; Metazoa; Platyhelminthes; Macrostomidae.